This 66-nucleotide transfer RNA is filed under the name Chorosoma macilentum. RNAcentral describes it as "tRNA-Phe". It matches the Rfam family "tRNA". Rfam says of the family: Transfer RNA (tRNA) molecules are approximately 80 nucleotides in length. Their secondary structure includes four short double-helical elements and three loops (D, anti-codon, and T loops). Further hydrogen bonds mediate the characteristic L-shaped molecular structure. tRNAs have two regions of fundamental functional importance: the anti-codon, which is responsible for specific mRNA codon recognition, and the 3' end, to which the tRNAs corresponding amino acid is attached (by aminoacyl-tRNA synthetases). tRNAs cope with the degeneracy of the genetic code in two manners: having more than one tRNA (with a specific anti-codon) for a particular amino acid; and 'wobble' base-pairing, i.e. permitting non-standard base-pairing at the 3rd anti-codon position. The record is from RNAcentral. Lineage: Eukaryota; Metazoa; Arthropoda; Insecta; Hemiptera; Rhopalidae. RNAcentral also lists the same sequence under 1 other name.
AUUUAAGUAGCUUAAAGUUAAAGCAUAAUAUUGAAGCUAUUAUUAUAAGGGUAACCUUCUUAAAUA